Molecule: small nuclear RNA, 107 nt
Filed under: Moschus moschiferus (Siberian musk deer)
Lineage: Eukaryota; Metazoa; Chordata; Mammalia; Artiodactyla; Moschidae
Source: RNAcentral
GUGCUUGCUUCGGCAGCACAUAUACUAAAACUGGAAAGAUACAGAGAGGAUUGGCAUGACCCCUGUGCAAGGAUGACAUGCAAGUUCGUGAAGUGUUCCAUAUUGUU